AGCAGCCGCGGUAAUUCCAGCUCCAAUAGCGUAUAUUAAAGUUGUUGCAGUUAAAAAGCUCGUAGUUGAAUUUCGGGGUUAGUAAGUUGGUCAUGCCUCCGGUAUGUACUGGCUUUACUGAUUCCUCCUUCUUGAUGAACUGUAAUGUCAUUAAUUUGGUGUUGCAGGGAAUCGGGACUGUUACUUUGAAAAAUUAGAGUGUUUAAAGCAGGCAUACGCUUGAAUACAUUAGCAUGGAAUAAUGAAAUAGGACGUUUGAUCCUAUUUUGUUGGUUUCUAGGAUUGACGUAAUGAUUAAUAGGGAUAGUUGGGGGCAUUAGUAUUCAAUUGUCAGAGGUGAAAUUCUUGGAUUUAUUGAAGACUAACUACUGCGAAAGCAUUUGCCAAGGAUGUUUUCAUUAAUCAAGAACGAAAGUUAGGGGAUCGAAGACGAUCAGAUACCGUCGUAGUCUUAACCAUAAACUAUGCCGACUAGGGAUCGGAUGAUGUUAUUUUUAAUGACUCAUUCGGCGUCC
This 515-nucleotide ribosomal RNA is filed under the name uncultured Glomeromycotina. Its description in RNAcentral is "SSU rRNA". It matches the Rfam family "Eukaryotic small subunit ribosomal RNA", at positions 569 to 1088 of the family's 1831-position model. The record is from RNAcentral. Lineage: Eukaryota; Fungi; Glomeromycota.